GAUGAACGCUAGCGGGAGGCCUAACACAUGCAAGCCGAGCGGGAUUUGUUUGUUAGCUUGCUAACUAACAAUGAGAGCGGCGUACGGGUGCGUAGCACGUUUGCAACCUGCCUUUAUUUGGGGGGUAGCCUUUCGAAAGGUAGCUUAAUACCCCAUAACAUAUUGAUUGGCGUCAGUUAAUUUUUCAAUCUCCGGCGAGUUGAGAUGGGCACGCGUAAGAUUGGCUAGUUGGUGAGGUAACGGCUCACCAAGGCUGCGAUCCUUAGGGGGCCGGAGGGGGUGAUCCCCCACACUGGUACUGAGACACGGACCAGGCUCCUACGGGAGGCAGCAGUGAGGAAUAUUGGACAAUGGGUGAGAGCCUGAUCGCGCCAGCCCGCGUGAAGGACUAAGGACCUAGGGUUUGUAAACUUCUUUUAUACAGGGAUAAACCUACUCUCGUGAGGGUAGCUGAAGGUACUGAAUGAAUAAGCACCGGCUAACUCCGUG
RNAcentral lists this ribosomal RNA (489 nucleotides) under uncultured bacterium. Its description in RNAcentral is "partial 16S ribosomal RNA". It matches the Rfam family "Bacterial small subunit ribosomal RNA", at positions 28 to 507 of the family's 1533-position model. The record is from RNAcentral.